AGCUCCAAGAAUACGCGGACGAGGUGGCCGGGGUCAGCGUCGGCGCCGCCCGGCGCGGGCCACGGGCCCGCUUCCAAGUGCGUCUGCGCGCCGACCACCCACGCCGGGUCCUUCAAGUGCCGCUUCCACCGCACCAACUCCCAGGGCCACGGCCACGGCCAGGGCCAGGGAAGCUGCCCUUCUUCGCCCCCUUCACCGGCCGCGGCCAACGCGGUCCCGCGGCACGUGGCCUCGCCGUCCUCGUCCUCGUCCACGUGA
Molecule: ribosomal RNA, 258 nt
Filed under: Triticum aestivum (bread wheat)
Lineage: Eukaryota; Viridiplantae; Streptophyta; Magnoliopsida; Poales; Poaceae
Description: partial small subunit ribosomal RNA
Source: RNAcentral